RNAcentral lists this ribosomal RNA (114 nucleotides) under Oryctolagus cuniculus (rabbit). Lineage: Eukaryota; Metazoa; Chordata; Mammalia; Lagomorpha; Leporidae. The record is from RNAcentral.
GUCUACACUCAUGGCACCUUGAAUGCACCUGCCUGAUCUCCUCUGAUCUCAGAAGCUAAACAGGGUGGGGCCUGGUUAGUACGUGAAUGGCAGAAUAGCAAGGGAGUGGUGAUU